AGAACGAACGCUGGCGGCAGGCUUAACACAUGCAAGUCGAGCGCCCCGCAAGGGGAGCGGCAGACGGGUGAGUAACGCGUGGGAACAUACCCUCCGGUUCGGAAUAGCUCAGGGAAACUUGGAUUAAUACCGGAUACGGCCUAGCGGCGAAAGAUUCAUCGCCGGAGGAUUGGCCCGCGUUCGAUUAGCUAGUUGGUGAGGUAACGGCUCACCAAGGCGACGAUCGAUAGCUGGUCUGAGAGGAUGAUCAGCCACAUUGGGACUGAGACACGGCCCAAACUCCUACGGGAGGCAGCAGUGGGGAAUAUUGGACAAUGGGCGCAAGCCUGAUCCAGCCAUGCCGCGUGAGUGAUGACGGCCUUAGGGUUGUAAAGCUCUUUCGCUAGGGACGAUAAUGACGGUACCUAGACAAGAAGCCCGGACUAACUUCGCGCCAGCAGCCGC
RNAcentral lists this ribosomal RNA (444 nucleotides) under uncultured bacterium. RNAcentral describes it as "SSU rRNA". It matches the Rfam family "Bacterial small subunit ribosomal RNA", at positions 26 to 518 of the family's 1533-position model. The record is from RNAcentral.